GAUGAACGCUGGCGGCGUGCUUAACACAUGCAAGUCGAACGAAGCAUUUAGAACAGAUUACUUCGGUUUGAAGUUCUUUAUGACUGAGUGGCGGACGGGUGAGUAACGCGUGGGUAACCUGCCUUGUACUGGGGGAUAGCAGCUGGAAACGGCUGGUAAUACCGCAUAAGCGCACAAUGUUGCAUGACAUGGUGUGAAAAACUCCGGUGGUAUAAGAUGGACCCGCGUCUGAUUAGCUAGUUGGUGAGAUAACAGCCCACCAAGGCGACGAUCAGUAGCCGACCUGAGAGGGUGACCGGCCACAUUGGGACUGAGACACGGCCCAGACUCCUACGGGAAGCAGCAGUGGGAAAUAUUGCACAAUGGAGGAAACUCUGAUGCAGCGACGCCGCGUGAGUGAAGAAGUAAUUCGUUAUGUAAAGCUCUAUCAGCAGGGAAGAUAGUGACGGUACCUGACUAAGAAGCUCCGGCUAAAUACGUG
RNAcentral lists this ribosomal RNA (481 nucleotides) under uncultured bacterium. RNAcentral describes it as "partial 16S ribosomal RNA". It matches the Rfam family "Bacterial small subunit ribosomal RNA", at positions 28 to 507 of the family's 1533-position model. The record is from RNAcentral.